Molecule: non-coding RNA, 4237 nt
Organism: Misgurnus anguillicaudatus (oriental weatherfish)
Lineage: Eukaryota; Metazoa; Chordata; Actinopteri; Cypriniformes; Cobitidae
Source: RefSeq, a predicted model, not a curated record
UCAACAAGAGAAGCGACGCAGUAAUAUGCGUUCUCUGGAGCUCCAUGGGUAAGGCUUUCUUGGAAAUUUGGUGAUUAAUGUUACUAAAAUUGAGUAAAUCCUGUGUUUAUGUUAAGUCUUUGUUGCAACGUUAGCAAUAUAAUAUCACCGCUAAGGCAACAGACAAGUCGCACGCGUUUGGUCAGAAUCCAAUUGGCUCAUAUUUAGGACAUAAUUGUUGUUCAGGUGCGGUCAUUUAAGAAAUCCUAAAGUUGGUGCAGCAUAACAUUUAAUUUGCGUGUGUGGACUAUGGAGUUAUCUAUAGUGGUUUUUACGUUACUAAGGUCAGAAACAUUAUUGGAUGACUGUUUGAUAAUCAGCAGAUGUAUUAAUCACAGAAAGCUGCAGUGACUGCAUUAUAUUAUGUUGCUAAACAGUUGUUCUAGCGUUUUUAAACCAGUAGUUUUAUUAAUUUCGCGCGGAAUGCAGUUCGUGAAAUAAGCUCUAAAUGAAAAAAUAACCGAUUUAAGUAAAUAAUUGUGUUCAUUGUAAAUCUGCUCAUCUAAACAUACAAGGCGGAACCAAUCGAUCACAGAGAGCGAUCGCUGCUGACACCGUCAGCAGCACUUACAUUCAGAUUACAAUAUGAUUUCACAUUAUUACAUUCAGAUUACAAUAAUAUUUCACAUUAUAAGUGUUUUUAUAUCAAAUAAGUGCAGCCUUGGUGAGCAGAAUAGAUUUAUUUAAUUAUUUAAUAUUAUUUAUAUAAUAAGGCUAGUUUGUGCAGUUACAUUAUGUCAAUUGAUCGUUAGAAGGGAUUAAAAUUGAUUGUGUUAUGUUCUGUAAUUGUUGUUAAUAAAUCUUUCAGAAGAAAGUGUGUAAAAGUUUGACUACAGUAACCAUAUCUAACCAAGCUUCAUGUACCAAGAUAAUUAUUUCAUUUAUUUCUCAUCAGAUCAACUGUUCAUUUAUGCAGUUUAUGCUUUAUUUAUAGGUAGCAUAACUGUUACCUUUUUGUUUACAGUUCUGCAUAUAUAAUAUGACAAACCUAGGAGACUUUGCUGUAAGAGAAUUAAUCAUGUUUUUGUUUUCUUUUCUCAGGUCCGGUCAGUACCCACCACCCUUCCCUGUUCACCCACAGUUUAUACUUUUUCUUAGAAAACCAACGGCUCUUUUAAGAGCCACUUCAAUAGACCCUUUUACAGCCCACGUGAUCAAAUAGCCUGCGUGCGCAUUUUGGCAACGGAAGUGAUGUUAUUUCCCAGUGGUUCUAACGUGUAAGCAACUCAGAAAGUUUAUUAAAACGAUUUCCCCACAUCAAAACGUCUGGUUGUAGCAUUUGGUUGCACUAAUAUAAUAUAUGUUUAGUAUUUGGCCAUCUUCUAACGUCUUCUAUCCACUCCACUAUAGUACACGGAUCUGGUAACUGUGUAGAAAAUAAGUCAACUUUUUAAACUAACUUUCUCUGUCUGUGUUGCUUCACUGCUGAUUCUUGCUGUGCUUCCGUUGCCAAACUGCGUGCGCAUACGUUGCCACGUCAUCAUUGUGUACAAACAGUAAAAGGGUCACUCACUCACUCUUUCGCAAGCUUCUCUGUUUUCAAGUAUUGUAAUUUUAUUCAUUUUACUCUCUCUCUCACUGUCCAAAACACUUAGCCUAUGCCUCUUUGUCUGACCAAUGUAGUAUUGUUGAAAUGGCUGCUGAGCAAGACAGAGGGAGAGCAGAGGGUGUUAUUUUCAUAGCAGACAUGCUUCUUGCUCAAAUCAAGUAUUACCAUACAAGGCACACUUUCUUUUAUGCAAGGCAGAGGAACCCAAGGGCAAAGCAACAGCCAUUAAAGGGAGUACAUUUAAUGUCAGAUAGGUGGAGAAAAUGCUGAAGGACGUCCACUACUAAAAAGCAGCAGAAGUGAAGAGAUACAAAGCUUCAGCUACAGUCUGUUUAUUGCCUACAGUGAGACCUCCACAUUUCUGCACUUGUGAUCAUGCAAACAUCCAGUGUAGAGCACUUCACCUGCCCGGCAUGUACACCCAACAAUGCUCGCUCUUUGUGCAGAUGGCAACAGAAAAACCUACAGAUUCCGUCAGUCAAAAGAAAGGAGCUUCAAGCAGCCACAAACGGAGAGUUCUUUUGAACAGAUAUUGCUUGCAAGUAUUGGCCAUACCUUGAGAAGGCAUCAGUCUCCAUGUUGGAACUCAGACCUUUACUGCAGAUGAGACCUUUCCUUUCUGUCAUGCAUGCCAAGGCUCAUUCAACCAAGUGUCAGGUAAUGCAUAUUCUUUAUCGUACCAUUUGAAACUGUAUUUGUAUUACUUAUUAAUACACUGUAACUGUUUAUGGUUGUAAUAUAGGUGUCACACAUUUGUUAGAUAAUCUGGCAAAAAUCAGGAAGGUGCUGGUACAACUGCAGUUGAGGAGGUCAAAAUGGUCAACAGCUACCUGUCUCGUUGUGGCCUCACAACCAAGUAUCUAAUUGAUGCCUAUUUAUAAUAUUUUAGGAAACCUGUCUUUAUUUUUUCACUUUUUUAUUCUUUCUGUCUAGUACUUUGAGAUUGCAUAAGAGUAAGCUGUAACUGUUCAAAGUACAUAAAAAUUGGCAUGUAGUUCUCUCUUAAAUUUUAAACUCAAUUGUCAGUUUCUGGAUUAAUUGAAAUACGACAAGCAUUAAUGGGACCUUUCUUCCUUCAUCACAUACAUGUCUUGUUAAUAGCCAGGAAUGACAUGCUAACUGUCCAUGCUAUUGGGUGGAACCAACGGAAGCAAGAAGGCCUUCAGCAUUAUCCAGCAGAUACAUCAAGAGACGGGAAGAUUUGAGCAGUGAACUGGGGUGUCCUGAGAACAUUGUGAAUCAGUGGGUACAAGAUGUCAGACAAAAGGCUACUGAUGGAUUUGGUAGGUACCAGAUGUGAUGACCUACACAACCUUCAGAAAUGAAUUGAACAAAUGUUUCUUAGUCUUCAUCGAAAAGCCAGCCUUUAUAAUCACACUGAAUCUAGCAACACCCUCACCAAGAAGAUUUCAAAAGUGCGCCUUCAAGAAGCAAAGCUCAUUGUGAUGAGGGAGAUGAGACACCACUGCACCGCACCUAUCUCAGAAGCCUGGCUAGGAACAUCAGGAAAAUGAUAUCAGAAAUGUCUUCAGGCAAAAACAGUGGCAGUUUAAGUGAAGAGUGUCAUCGCUGGCUACUGUGUCGUCUUCAGAAAAGGCUUGCAGAUGUAGAGAAGAAGUUCUAAGUUUGCUCAAGUUACAGCCAGGCUUUAGGACAGUGUUCUUCACUCCCAACCCCGGAGAGCCGGUGUCCUGCAGACUUUAGCUCCAACCUUAAUCAAACACACCUGAAAGCUAAUCAAUGUCUUCAUGAUCUCUAGAAAAUCACAGGUAUGCGUGUUUGAUUAAGGUUGGAGCUAAGCUCUGCAGGACACCGGCUCUCCAGGAUUGGGAGUGAAGAACACUGCUUUAGGACCAAAUGCUGUUUCUCUGCUGGAGGAUGAGCCUGAGGAGAUACUGGAGGACCACAAAGAGCUGGAUUAUGAGAGUUCAGAUGACAUUUUGGAUUUGGAACUCUGAACUGGUGUAUGCAUUUAGACUGUGUGUCACACUGAACUGCAGGUGUGUUUCAUGGAAAACAUAAAACUAUUUGGAAAUGUAAUGGAUGUCUGAUACAGUGCUUUUAUUUUAGACAACCGUUUCCUGCAGUCUGUAAGCAACAUUAGCCUCAUAGAUUGAUGGGAAACUACUGUUAAAUAAGUUUUUGUAUGAUAAUCCAUAUCUCCGUUUACAAGCAGCAGGUUAGCUAUUAGGUUUCCCCUCCACCUCCGAUGUUUCACAGACUACUCCUACAGUCAACUGUGUUGCUACAACUUACAAAUGCCACAAUCCUCUUGCAGUGGUUACUUCACCAAACUGUGCCCAUAUCAUCUUGUCAACAUAAUGACAUUUACUGUAGAAAAAUGUGCAAAUCUAUUUUGCCUGUGUUACAUAUGUUACUAUUAUUGUUAUAUAGUUUUAUACUGUAUCAAGUUUUUUUCACAGUGAUUGUGGAUACUUUUGGAGUGAACUAACUGUAUGUCAUUAGAUUAAAUACUUUCCAUAAAUGACUGAUCAAUAACCUACCCAUAUUUGAUGCAUGAGUUAAUACUGUUGUUACCUUUUCAAUGAAAGGAAAUGUUUUACAAUGCCAUUUUCUUGAGGUAACUAUUAAACUGUUUCAUAUAUGUACCUGCAAAAUUGUUUACUUUUCCCUGUUUUGAAAAUGAGA